UAAUACGGAGGGUGCAAGCGUUAUCCGGAUUCACUGGGUUUAAAGGGUGUGUAGGCGGGCACUUAAGUCAGUGGUGAAAUCUCCAGGCUCAACCUGGAAACUGCCAUUGAUACUAUUUGUCUUGAAUAUUGUUGAGGUAGGCGGAAUAUGUCAUGUAGCGGUGAAAUGCUUAGAUAUGACAUAGAACACCAAUUGCGAAGGCAGCUUACUAAGCAAAGAUUGACGCUGAGGCACGAAAGCGUGGGGAUCAAACAGG
This 256-nucleotide ribosomal RNA is filed under the name uncultured archaeon. RNAcentral's name for it is "partial 16S ribosomal RNA". It matches the Rfam family "Bacterial small subunit ribosomal RNA", at positions 521 to 776 of the family's 1533-position model. The record is from RNAcentral.